This 52-nucleotide transfer RNA is filed under the name Cyanidiococcus yangmingshanensis. Its description in RNAcentral is "tRNA-Ser". It matches the Rfam family "tRNA", at positions 1 to 49 of the family's 71-position model. From Rfam's summary of the family: Transfer RNA (tRNA) molecules are approximately 80 nucleotides in length. Lineage: Eukaryota; Rhodophyta; Bangiophyceae; Cyanidiales; Cyanidiaceae. The record is from RNAcentral.
GGAGAGGUGGCUGAGUGGUCGAAAGCAACAGAUUGCUAAUCUGUCGUAUGGG